This is a non-coding RNA of Hordeum vulgare subsp. vulgare (domesticated barley), 124 nucleotides long. NCBI's taxonomy places the organism in Eukaryota, Viridiplantae, Streptophyta, Magnoliopsida, Poales, Poaceae. The record is from Rfam.
UAUAUACUUCCUCCGUCCGGAAAUACUUGUCCUAGACAUGAAUGUAUCUAGGCUUAUUUUCGUUAUAGAUACAUCCAUUUUAUUCAUUUUUAGGACAAGUAUUUUCGGUCGGAGGAAGUACUAC